Molecule: ribosomal RNA, 773 nt
Filed under: uncultured Actinomycetes bacterium
Lineage: Bacteria; Bacillati; Actinomycetota; Actinomycetes
Description: bacterial SSU rRNA
Rfam family: Bacterial small subunit ribosomal RNA
Source: RNAcentral
CCAGAGUUUGAUCCUGGCUCAGGACGAACGCUGGCGGCGUGCUUAACACAUGCAAGUCGAACGGUGACCUCGAGAGCUUGCUCUUGAGUGAUCAGUGGCGAACGGGUGAGUAACACGUGAGUAACCUACCCCUGACUCUGGAAUAACAAUUGGAAACAGUUGCUAAUACCGGAUACGACACGAGCGGGCAUCCGCAUCGUGUGGAAAGUUUUUCGGUCUGGGAUGGACUCGCGGCCUAUCAGCUUGUUGGUGAGGUAAUGGCUCACCAAGGCGACGACGGGUAGCCGGCCUGAGAGGGCGACCGGCCACACUGGGACUGAGACACGGCCCAGACUCCUACGGGAGGCAGCAGUGGGGAAUAUUGCACAAUGGGCGAAAGCCUGAUGCAGCGACGCCGCGUGAGGGAUGACGGCCUUCGGGUUGUAAACCUCUUUCAGUAGGGAAGAAGCGAAAGUGACGGUACCUACAGAAGAAGCACCGGCUAACUACGUGCCAGCAGCCGCGGUAAUACGUAGGGUGCGAGCGUUGUCCGGAAUUAUUGGGCGUAAAGAGCUUGUAGGCGGUUUGUCGCGUCUGCUGUGAAAAUCCGGGGCUCAACCUCGGACUUGCAGUGGGUACGGGCAGACUAGAGUGUGGUAGGGGAGACUGGAAUUCCUGGUGUAGCGGUGAAAUGCGCAGAUAUCAGGAGGAACACCCGAUGCGAAGGCAGGUCUCUGGGCCACUACUGACGCUGAAAAGCGAAAGCGUGGGGAGCGAACAGGAUUAGAUCCCUG